CAGCCCACCAGUCUGGUAGGUAGCCUUCAAUCCUCCUAUGCCUCAUUUCUCUAACUAUUAGAGUCUUUCUUCUGAAACAAAGAAGAAAUAGACAGAUCAGGAUUGCUCUUUUGGAAUUGGGGUCCAGAUUGCUCUACUCCCAAGCUCCAGAAAA
Unclassified non-coding RNA from Dasypus novemcinctus (nine-banded armadillo), 154 nucleotides. The record is from Ensembl. NCBI's taxonomy places the organism in Eukaryota, Metazoa, Chordata, Mammalia, Cingulata, Dasypodidae.